AUUCAUGUUGCUUCAUUUUUUUAAUAACGGUGGACCUUAGAGGCCUAAGGUCCACUCUCAUUUAACACAGGCGGUCUUAAAACUGUUUAAAGGAAGUUGCCUGCACUUCGGUAGAUAUCCUUCAAUCAUCUAACACUCUUGAUAACAUGUCUCCAUUACAACCAUCUUAUAUUAACUCUAUAUGUUACACUCUUCAUCUAUUAUACCAUACUAUUGGGAGAGAAA
Molecule: long non-coding RNA, 225 nt
Organism: Lycium ferocissimum
Lineage: Eukaryota; Viridiplantae; Streptophyta; Magnoliopsida; Solanales; Solanaceae
Exons: 2
Source: RefSeq, a predicted model, not a curated record